RNA transcript from Danaus plexippus (monarch butterfly), 2134 nucleotides. RefSeq lists it as uncharacterized. The transcript has 4 exons. Lineage: Eukaryota; Metazoa; Arthropoda; Insecta; Lepidoptera; Nymphalidae. The record is from RefSeq and is a predicted model, not a curated record.
CAUGUAUUGUGCGCAAGGAUUCGGCGCGGGAAAGCAAUGCACGUCACUCGCAAGCCGGUUCUCGCAGUUUGUUCUAGUAUACCACACAAGGCGUUCGUUUGGCUGUAUACUGUUCAACCAGGUCCGAUCGAACUUUUUCGCCGACAAGACUUUCCCGCCAAACGUUGUUUAUUUUUUAAUUUCAUGUAGCUGUGAUUUUUCUGUGCCAGGAUUAUUUAUGUGAUGCGCUGUUGUGUAUAAAGUGAUUGUGAUAACCGAAUGGAAUGUGGAAACUGAUUUCAUGAAAAAUAUAGAAGGACGGGAUCAAUUUGAAUGCUUCUGUCAUGAAGCGGGGAGGUGGCAUACUUCAUUACUCGCAGAUCAAACAAUCGCCGACAACGCCGCCAUCUUGCCGGAAGACACGUCACCGACGAUCACUUUGAUCCUGCACAAAAAUAACGCUCUAAUUCAUACCCUCCAAGCCUCCAGACCUCCGACAUAGGCCUGAUGUGUCGGAGACAGCGGCAGGAAGACACCCCCCCUCACCCCACGGGAUGCCUCCGUGGAUACAGAUUAUACAUAGACAUUCAGUCUAUUCAACUGGAACCGGUUAAGUAUUCCAAAUAAUAAAUAAUUUAUAUCGAAUCUAUUGUGACAUCCAUCCUCAAAAGAAAAACCUAAUUUCCAACAAUUAUUACUACUAUGUAAAUAAAACUCGGAUCAAAAAAAUUUAUAUACGUAUAUAUAGUAAAUAUGUACAAAAUUUUAUUUCACUUUUUUGUUAUUUAGAUAAUAAUCACAAUUGAGAGUUACUUUUAAAGUAAAAUAUUUCAUAUUUUUCAUUUAGUUUUAAUGUUAUAUUAAAUAGGUUUCCAUACAGAAAAUACGGAUUAAAAAAUCAGGAAAUUUGGUGUGUUCUAACUUUCCACCUCACCCAGAACAAGUAAGAACAUCAAGACAAAUGUAAUGAUAACUAAGUGGUUGAAUUUUUUCAAAUUACAUUCAUUUUUAAAACUCGAACUACUCUUUUUUACUAUAGUCGAGUAAAAUUUAAUUGUCAGAACUAUUGCAGGAUUCGUGCAGAGCGAACCAGACCUAGGUGAAACUAUAACUAAGCUUUAGGUAUUAUUAGAUAUAUGCCUUCCCAGGAGAUAGCUGUUACGUGUGCGGUCUUGUCGGUGUCCAGUCGUCAGACCAAUAUUGGCCUUUCAUUAUCAUACUCCAGUUCCGUCUUGAGAUGCAUGCCCUAUAUACAUAUGACUAUGUAAAGUGUAACGUUGCCAUACUAUAGCCUAAAUAUAUAUAUAAAUUUUUCCUGACAGUUCAUUUUCAAGUCGAAUAAAUGAAAAUAAUAUAAGUAUUGUAUAGUUAAUUGAAAUUUAACAACGAAAUAUAAAUAAAUUUACCGACGAAAAGUUCUUGAUAAUUUAAAAUAUUCACGGAAUGACAUCGUUAAAUAGAAACGUUAUCCGAAAUUGCGAGACAACUUUUUGCACAAUUUAGGCACCACCAAAAUUAAAGUUACUUUUUAAUAUUAAAGUGACGAUUCGUCAACAAUACGCAGCGGCCAUAUUGCUUCACAGUGUUGCCAGGCGUGAUAAUUAUUAAUUUGCGAGACACUCUCGCGGCUGUCAUUAGUGACACCUCGCGCCAAUUAGGACGCGCCGAGUGUUUGAUGCUCGCUUUUUAUUUAACACCAGCAAUUAUUGAAUGACGAUGUGUUGUAGUGCUUUUUCAGUUGUGCAGAGGUGUUGACAUUUACAAUUUAAAAAAAAAAAAUCUCUGCACAUUUUCAUCGCACUUAAAUGAUAGGGAUGUUGAUUGAAGUUAGGAAUUCUACAAGUGGGGGGAGGGGGUAUGGUUUACACAAAACAAAUAUAUCUUGUAAAUUGUUUGAAGAUCUUGUAACAAAUUUAUUGUGACACUUUAUUGUUAUAUUUAUUUUAACUAUUACUUUAAAAAAAAAUAUUGAAUCAAAUAUUGUGAUAAUUAUUGGCUAAUUAGACUUAAACCGUUUAGGAAUAAUAUUUUUAUAUUGGUAUAAGUGAAAAGUAAUAUUUUAAAGAGUUAAAAAUUUAUGUAUGUAAUAUAAUAUAGUUUUUAAUUUUAUAAUAAGAUAUUAUACCUUACAUUUGAAAUAAAGAUAAUGUAUAUA